CUAAACCCUAUCCCCCUCUCUCUCUCUCUCUCUCUCUCUCAACUCAAAAACCAGCCCUCAGCCCUCCUCUUUGACGGCGUGCAUGGGUCACGAUAGGUAGGUGGCUGGUGGUCGGAUCACGGCGGCAGGCUCGAUGCAGAGGUAGGGGCUUGGCUCUCUCACUCCUUCGUCCUCCCAUCUCUCGCUCUGCCUAGGCUCGAUGUCGGCUAGGGGUUCAAGGGCUCGACAGUGGCUAGGGGCUCAGGGGGUGGGCUCGACAGCGAGUAGGGUUCUCCGGGCUAGCUGGGCUCGACGGCACGGGGGUCUCAGGGGGUGGGAUCGAUCGUGCAAGGACGGCGCAGAGAGGGUUCGGGUUGGGCUGGGCUGGGUUUGGGUCGACUGUGCAGGGAGGGGCUCGGGCUGGGACGGUGGCUGGGCUCGGCAGGGAGGGGCUCGGGCUGGGACGGUGGCUGGGCUCGGCAGGGACAGUGGCUGGGCUUGGGGCUACUGCUACCGCACCAAUUAUUCCUGAAAACAUGGGAAUUUUUCCGCACCUCAAGUCGAUGACUUGGACCAUGGAAAAUUGCAGCUCGGACCAAGCAAAGAGAACGGCGAUCAUCACACUAAAGGUUUUUGAAAUAUGGGAACUAGCAAAACGGAAGCAAAUUUAAGAAGAUUACUUGCUGCUGCGCCUAAACAGCAAAACCAAGGAAAGCUUGUUCAUGCUUUUGGGCUAUAGCAAUAUCUAAUAGAGCAAAAAGGUGUGUCUGUAUAAAGGAAGUUGAAGAGCUAUGGAAGCAGGUCUAUAUUGAGAUGCAUUUCUUUGGCGCAAUACUAGACAACAUUGACAGUUGAAGUUUUUAGAAUAAAAAAUAUAUUUCACUAACAUUGGAUACAUUUCUUGUUUAAUAUUUGGUGAUGAUAAAAUUUGAUUGUAGUAUAAACUAUCAUGUAAUAUGAUUUUGUAAGCCGAGUAGACUAAAUACUGAAAUUAUAUUUUUGAGUAAUUAAUAAAUAAUUAUUUUGUUGUA
Humulus lupulus (European hop) is the source of this 1010-nucleotide long non-coding RNA. RefSeq lists it as uncharacterized. The record is from RefSeq and is a predicted model, not a curated record. NCBI's taxonomy places the organism in Eukaryota, Viridiplantae, Streptophyta, Magnoliopsida, Rosales, Cannabaceae. The transcript has 5 exons.